This 1666-nucleotide ribosomal RNA is filed under the name Phoxocampus belcheri. RNAcentral describes it as "16S ribosomal RNA". It matches the Rfam family "Bacterial large subunit ribosomal RNA". Lineage: Eukaryota; Metazoa; Chordata; Actinopteri; Syngnathiformes; Syngnathidae. The record is from RNAcentral.
CACCCUAAAACUAGCCCAAAAUCCAAAUACAACCUAUAAAUUUAUAUACCCCCUCACAUAAUAUAUACGUUUAAACAAAUCAUUUUUCCACCUUAGUAAGGGAGACUGAAAAGAAACUAGGCGCUACAGAUAAAGUACCGCAAGGGAAAGCUGAAAAAGAAAUGAAACAAUUUAUAAAGUAAAAAGAAGCAGAGACUAAUUCUCGUACCUUUUGCAUCAUGAUUUAGCAAGAAUACCUAAGCAAAGAGCACUUAAGUUUAGCUACCCGAAACUAAGUGAGCUACUUCGAAACAGCCUUAUAAAGGGCAAACCCUUAUCUGUAGCAAAAGAUUGGGAAGAUUUCCAAGUAGAGGUGACAGACCAACCGAACUUAGUUAUAGCUGGUUGCCUGAAAAAUGGAUUUCAGUUCAGCCUAAUUCAUUAUAUACCCACAAUAUUAUUCAUUACAGGUAAACAUAAAAAUUAGAGUUAGUCAAAAGAGGUACAGCUCUUUUGAUAAAAGAUAGAACUUUUAAAGGAGGUUAAAGAUCGUAGAAAUAAAAAGCCCGUGCCACAGUGGGCCUAAAAGCAGCCAUCUGAAUGAAAAGCGUUAAAGCUCAAGCACUCAAUCCUUAAUUAUACCGACAAAUGCUCUAAAACCCCUUCAAUAUAUCAGGCUAUUCCACCUAUUGUGGAAGUAAUUAUGCUAAUAUGAGUAAUAAGAGAACCAGUUUCUCUCCUUGUGCAAGUGUAACUCGGAACGAACCCGCACCGAAAAAUAACGGACCCAAAUACACAGAGGGAAAUGUAAAAAUAGACAAGAAAAUCAACACUAAUAAACCGUUACCCCUACACUGGAGCACCUAAAAGGAAAGACAAAAUAAUGGAGAAGGAACUCGGCAAAAUUUAAUCUAGCCUCGCCUGUUUACCAAAAACAUCGCCUCUUGCAUAAAUCGUAUAAGAGGUCCCGCCUGCCCUGUGACUAUGUUUUAACGGCCGCGGUAUUUUGACCGUGCAAAGGUAGCGCAAUCACUUGUCUUUUAAAUGAAGACCUGUAUGAAUGGCAUAACGAGGGCUAAACUGUCUCCUUCCUUAAGUCAAUGAAAUUGAUCUCCCCGUGCAGAAGCGGGGAUAAAAACAUAAGACGAGAAGACCCUAUGGAGCUUUAGAUUAAAGUAGACUUGCAUUAAAAUCCUAAAUCAAAAGAACUAACUAAGCAAAACUCUACUUAAUAUCUUUGGUUGGGGCAACCACGGGGAAAAACUUAACCCCCGAGAGGAAUAAGGCUACAAGCCUUAAAACAGAGAAUACCAAUUCUAAGUAUCAAAACACUUUGACCUUAAUGAUCCGGUACUACCGAUCAACGGACCGAGUUACCCUAGGGAUAACAGCGCAAUCCUCUUUAAGAGUCCAUAUCGACAAGAGGGUUUACGACCUCGAUGUUGGAUCAGGACAUCCUAAUGGUGCAGCCGCUAUUAAGGGUUCGUUUGUUCAACGAUUAAAGUCCUACGUGAUCUGAGUUCAGACCGGAGUAAUCCAGGUCAGUUUCUAUCUAUGAAAUGUAAUUCUCUAGUACGAAAGGACCGAGAAAAAGAGGCCUAUAAUGAAAAUUAAGCCUCCCUCUUAAUCCCAGAAAAUAUCUAAAGGGAAUUAAAGAGCACAACUGAAAAGUUGUAAAUAACAACUU